Molecule: ribosomal RNA, 2904 nt
Filed under: Enterobacter hormaechei
Lineage: Bacteria; Pseudomonadati; Pseudomonadota; Gammaproteobacteria; Enterobacterales; Enterobacteriaceae
Description: 23S ribosomal RNA
Rfam family: Bacterial large subunit ribosomal RNA
Source: RNAcentral
UUAAGCGACUAAGCGUACACGGUGGAUGCCCUGGCAGUCAGAGGCGAUGAAGGACGUGCUAAUCUGCGAAAAGCGCCGGCGAGGUGAUAUGAACCUUUGACCCGGCGAUGUCCGAAUGGGGAAACCCAGUGCAAUCCGUUGCACUAUCGUUAACUGAAUACAUAGGUUAACGAGGCGAACCGGGGGAACUGAAACAUCUAAGUACCCCGAGGAAAAGAAAUCAACCGAGAUUCCCCCAGUAGCGGCGAGCGAACGGGGAGCAGCCCGGAGUCUGAAUCAGCUUGUGUGUUAGUGGAACGGUCUGGAAAGUCCGACGGUACAGGGUGAUAGUCCCGUACACGAAAGCACACUUGCUGUGAACUCGAAGAGUAGGGCGGGACACGUGGUAUCCUGUCUGAAUAUGGGGGGACCAUCCUCCAAGGCUAAAUACUCCUGACUGACCGAUAGUGAACCAGUACCGUGAGGGAAAGGCGAAAAGAACCCCGGCGAGGGGAGUGAAAAAGAACCUGAAACCGUGUACGUACAAGCAGUGGGAGCCUCUUUAUGGGGUGACUGCGUACCUUUUGUAUAAUGGGUCAGCGACUUAUAUUCUGUAGCAAGGUUAACCGUAUAGGGGAGCCGAAGGGAAACCGAGUCUUAACUGGGCGUUAAGUUGCAGGGUAUAGACCCGAAACCCGGUGAUCUAGCCAUGGGCAGGUUGAAGGUUGGGUAACACUAACUGGAGGACCGAACCGACUAAUGUUGAAAAAUUAGCGGAUGACCUGUGGCUGGGGGUGAAAGGCCAAUCAAACCGGGAGAUAGCUGGUUCUCCCCGAAAGCUAUUUAGGUAGCGCCUCGUGAACUCAUCUUCGGGGGUAGAGCACUGUUUCGGCUAGGGGGCCAUCCCGGCUUACCAACCCGAUGCAAACUACGAAUACCGAAGAAUGUUAUCACGGGAGACACACGGCGGGUGCUAACGUCCGUCGUGAAGAGGGAAACAACCCAGACCGCCAGCUAAGGUCCCAAAGUCAUGGUUAAGUGGGAAACGAUGUGGGAAGGCACAGACAGCCAGGAUGUUGGCUUAGAAGCAGCCAUCAUUUAAAGAAAGCGUAAUAGCUCACUGGUCGAGUCGGCCUGCGCGGAAGAUGUAACGGGGCUAAACCAUGCACCGAAGCUGCGGCAGCGACGCUUAGGCGUUGUUGGGUAGGGGAGCGUUCUGUAAGCCGUUGAAGGUGUCCUGUGAGGGGUGCUGGAGGUAUCAGAAGUGCGAAUGCUGACAUAAGUAACGAUAAAGCGGGUGAAAAGCCCGCUCGCCGGAAGACCAAGGGUUCCUGUCCAACGUUAAUCGGGGCAGGGUGAGUCGACCCCUAAGGCGAGGCCGAAAGGCGUAGUCGAUGGGAAACAGGUUAAUAUUCCUGUACUUGGUGUUACUGCGAAGGGGGGACGGAGAAGGCUAUGUCAGCCGGGCGACGGUUGUCCCGGUUUAAGCAUGUAGGCGGAGGUUCCAGGUAAAUCCGGUACCUUGUUAACGCUGAGGUGUGAUGACGAGGCACUACGGUGCUGAAGUGAUAAAUGCCCUGCUUCCAGGAAAAGCCUCUAAGCAUCAGGUAACACGAAAUCGUACCCCAAACCGACACAGGUGGUCAGGUAGAGAAUACCAAGGCGCUUGAGAGAACUCGGGUGAAGGAACUAGGCAAAAUGGUGCCGUAACUUCGGGAGAAGGCACGCUGAUGUGUAGGUGAAGUCCCUGCGGACGGAGCUGAAAUCAGUCGAAGAUACCAGCUGGCUGCAACUGUUUAUUAAAAACACAGCACUGUGCAAACACGAAAGUGGACGUAUACGGUGUGACGCCUGCCCGGUGCCGGAAGGUUAAUUGAUGGGGUUAGCGGCAACGCGAAGCUCUUGAUCGAAGCCCCGGUAAACGGCGGCCGUAACUAUAACGGUCCUAAGGUAGCGAAAUUCCUUGUCGGGUAAGUUCCGACCUGCACGAAUGGCGUAAUGAUGGCCAGGCUGUCUCCACCCGAGACUCAGUGAAAUUGAACUCGCUGUGAAGAUGCAGUGUACCCGCGGCAAGACGGAAAGACCCCGUGAACCUUUACUAUAGCUUGACACUGAACACUGGUCCUUGAUGUGUAGGAUAGGUGGGAGGCUUUGAAGCGUGGACGCCAGUCUGCGUGGAGCCAACCUUGAAAUACCACCCUUUAAUGGCUGGUGUUCUAACGUAGACCCGUAAUCCGGGUUGCGGACAGUGUCUGGUGGGUAGUUUGACUGGGGCGGUCUCCUCCCAAAGAGUAACGGAGGAGCACGAAGGUUGGCUAAUCCUGGUCGGACAUCAGGAGGUUAGUGCAAUGGCAUAAGCCAGCUUGACUGCGAGCGUGACGGCGCGAGCAGGUGCGAAAGCAGGUCAUAGUGAUCCGGUGGUUCUGAAUGGAAGGGCCAUCGCUCAACGGAUAAAAGGUACUCCGGGGAUAACAGGCUGAUACCGCCCAAGAGUUCAUAUCGACGGCGGUGUUUGGCACCUCGAUGUCGGCUCAUCACAUCCUGGGGCUGAAGUAGGUCCCAAGGGUAUGGCUGUUCGCCAUUUAAAGUGGUACGCGAGCUGGGUUUAGAACGUCGUGAGACAGUUCGGUCCCUAUCUGCCGUGGGCGCUGGAGAAUUGAGGGGGGCUGCUCCUAGUACGAGAGGACCGGAGUGGACGCAUCACUGGUGUUCGGGUUGUCAUGCCAAUGGCACUGCCCGGUAGCUAAAUGCGGAAGAGAUAAGUGCUGAAAGCAUCUAAGCACGAAACUUGCCCCGAGAUGAGUUCUCCCUGAGACUUUAAGUCUCCUGAAGGAACGUUGAAGACGACGACGUUGAUAGGUCGGGUGUGUAAGCGCAGCGAUGCGUUGAGCUAACCGAUACUAAUGAACCGUGAGGCUUAACCUU